CCUCGUAUAAUAUAAUUAUAUCUAUUGUCGUUUCAACCACCAGCUGAAAAUUUUUAAUACAUUUUGUAACGAGCAGUGAUUUCGAUGUUUUUUACAUCGAAUAUGUGUUACUUGCAUCUAUCUUUUUUAAAGAUGGGAUAUCUUUGUAUUCUGCGUCCAUUGUCUCAAUGAUUAAAUUUCUCUGUAUGUCAUCGCUGAGAAUAUCCUGCAAUCAUCGUUGUUUUUCAAGUCCUUUGAUUAUUUUUAUAGUUAUAUCUGUAGAAGUUUUUCGUCGUCAUCUUCUUCUGUCGUAUCAAAUAAGAUUGAUGCCUUGAUCAGACACGCAGCCUUACUGUAUGGUACAUAUCCAUCCAUCCAUAAUUAUCCAUAAUGAUUGGCGGUCAGCCUUGAAACUUGAGAUUUUUCUAAACUUGUGAGAUGAUUCCGAGAAAAAGGUGGUCGAAAGACGUAAUGAGAGAGAACAGUUCCUUUUCUCUAUAUCACUAUUUCUUUCACAAUAAAUGCCUUUCGGAUGAUGAGUUCUUGCAAGUCCACAAACGUUUGCGCGAUCAUGGUGAAAUAUUCUUUAAUCUGAACUGUCCUGAGCUGUUUAAAUACGGACAAUUUCCCUCCUAUUGCAUUUUUUUCAACACGAUGUGGUAUUAUAUCUGUACUUUUAUGUUAGUUGAUUUUGCGCAUUAGGUUGGUUAGUGGACUAUAUUUAACUACACAAUCAUGCAAAAUGAGACAAUAAGCUAUAGUAUUCGCUAGUAUAUUCUCUUUACAUUCAAAUUCUAUCCGCAUAUUCACAGUGAAGCUCUUAAUGAACUAAUUUUGAUGCGAACAAUCGAUAAUCACGAAAGGACUUCGCUGCAGAAAGUCGGCAGGUGUUAACCAUACCUCAUUACUGUUGCAUCCAUAGUAUGAUUUACGAAAACGUCUAUAUAUAUCAUAAAGUAUCAGCAUAAGCAUAUCUGGUUUUUGCAAAAUCUAAAUUCAUGUCAUUGUACGGAUAACAUUUUGAAUGCAGAUAGAGUUUUGCGUUGGUCAAAUUGUAUUUGUGGAAUCGAAUUAUAUCUUCCGACAUGACAUUCUUCCGACCAAUCUGCAACAUGAAGAUAACGUAUGGUGGUGAUUUUUCCAAAUUAGUAGUAGUUUUGAUAGCCCACAGGUGUUUGGUCGUGCUUUGCACCAUAGGAAAUUCAUACAAGUCUCACAAGCGGAAACUCUUACUUAAGUAUCGUCCGUUCUCCAAUUUUCUCAGCAGGGAAAGUUUAUGAAUAUUAUUCAAGAUUAUGUGGGGCAUUCGCCAUUGUACCUUGAAUAGCCCAAUCUUAGACUACACGCUGCAAAUCCUAGUAGACAUUUGUCAAUACGUGAUCGUAUUAGAAUCAAUUUGCGGCGUGCGUUAACCACUAUACGCUUAUAUUCUUUACAGAAUCCUAGCAAAAUGUUGAGCGGUACGUAAAAGUUGAAAUAUUUAUGUAGCAAAAUAGCUAUCAUAUCCUAUGCGGCAUUUUUCAUGAUAACACCUUCGUCCGAAGAUAAUGAUACAUAGUUUUUGAGCGUGGAAGUUAUUCCAAUGUUUCUGUUACGAUCACUUUUUAUACUAUCCAGUUCAUAACAAAUCUCAUCAAACAUGAAUGCAGCGUAAUUAUUUUACAAUGUUACAGACUCAUUAUCAGCUCUCCUGUGUAUAGUUAAUUUUCUCUCGACAUAAAGAUAACUCUCACUAGACAAUGUGUAUAAAUCCUACAGUUGUAUGUAUUCGUAUUUUAUCGCUAUAUCCAAACGUUGUAUUGGAGUAUGGAUUGUACGUAUGAGUCUCAAUCUUGACGAUCCGAUCAUCGAAGACCGGUUCACUUUCAAUGUUCAAAAUGUCAAUCAUCUUGCUCAAUUAUUUCGCACAAUGAACCCCAGAGAUUUCAAAAAUUCAACGUUUAAUGCAUUGAGUUUCUUUCGUGUAGAGGAUUUUGUGCUGUUAAUCGUAUGCUUCGUAAAAAAAAUGUAUCUCUCCCUUGCUUCUCCUGUUCCACUUGAUUCAUCACAAGCAUCUCAUAAAUCACACCUAUUAUUGUCGCCGUUAUACGUGUAAUCUGAUGGUAAUCUUUUCUUCUUAAAAAUCCAGCAAUUGUCCUUCUUGAUCCACGACAGACACUGUUAAAUCUGUAAUGUUUCGUGCAAUGAUAAAUGACAUACACCGGUGUUUUCGAUAUCUUAUAUCCUGAUGACACUCUAAGCAAAAAUUUAUGUAUCGUAUGUACGCGCGUAAUGUUGCUGUCCUUACCACGACAACGCUGCGUUCUGUACGAAUAAUAUUCAUGUUGAUAAUCUUAAUCAAUGCAUCCGAUUUGUACCAUUAUUGUAUUGUAUGGUUCUAAUAUACGAUUCGAUGAAAAUCCCAAAAGCGAAACAACUAUGAAAAUUUAAUUUCACGAUCAUUGCCACCAUCCCAUUUUGUUAUAAUUUUUACAUCUACAUGAUUUCGAACAUUUUUCAUAAUUUUACCAAAUAAUGCGUUGUUCGUCAAUUUGUAUACAUUUUUCUCAAAAUCAUUUGUCGCAUGUGUUCUAAAUUGCGUAUUUAAUUCGACAUAAUCGAAAAGCCAUGGAGAUUGGACGAAUUGGAGUACACAGUGUAUCAUUCUAGUACGAAGACCAUGACGUGUGCACUACUGUAGAUUGCGGUAAUGGAUAAUAUAACACUGUUUAUCAUAUAAUGUUGCGUGUAACUUAUCCUGUCUUUUGCUAGGUGGCUUUGCACGGGUUGGACAGAACGGUAGAUCGGAAUGAGCAUCGUAUAAUCAUUGCAGAUGCUUUAAAUCGACAUCGAGAAUGUAAUUUAUUGGCGAAUCUAGUGCAAUUGAAGAUAUAUCAAAUUUUGAAAUAUCAGCGACCCAUUGAAAUUUGACGUAAGACUUGCGCAUAUCUACCGGAAUAUUGACUCAAGCCACUGCGAAUACCGCGUCCGAUAAACAUGACCAUAUCGAUGUGGACAUAGGAAAGUCAAUUUUCUGUAGAUAUUGAUUUGUAGUGUGAAUACGAGGAUAGUCGAUCUAUGCGUUUUUUGGCUGGGUGUAGAGCUGCGACCACUGUCCACGCGAAACACGCAUUGUUCGUGGAUUGCACAUUCAUCAUUGCUAUUUUCAGCCGUAUCUCGCGUGGUAACUCAAAAUGACAGCCCGCGUGUAUCGGAUUGUAUUUGUUCACACUAACCGUCAGAUCAAGUAUUUGCAACAAUGCCCACCCGUUGUCACGUUCUUGGAAUUCUUCCAAUGACGCUAAGCGCUUAUUGAAAGAAAAAGUGUUUAUGGGUAAAUCGUGUUAAAAACAACGCAAUGGUUGGAAAAUUGUCCGUAUUUGAGUAGCUCAUACACAUUACAUCAGUCGCUCUACAAAAUGUUCUACAGACAAGGUGUGAUUCAAAAUGUAUACCAACUGUACUGGAGGGAGACGCAAUAAUAAUUACGAUCCCAUCAAAGAAGAUGAAGCAUUUUUAUGCAAGAAGUAUAAAUGUGACACUCUUACGAUUCAACUAUCAGACCGUUUCGAGCAGCUCGUAUUUUGGGGAUGAAAUACACUUUAACAUCCACAUCAUAUAAAUAUCUAGAAAUUGGAGUCAGCGCAGGACCUGUCUCAUUUGUAGAAAUUGCCCUUGGCGAUAAUCGCGGCAAUCAACUGAUUUUGCCUGUUUCAAUGUGGAGAACGCUGAUUCAAAAACGUGUAAACACCGAGCGACAUAUAAAGUCAACGGAAUCUCAUUCUUCACCGAUACGGAUUCGAGUGUUAGCGCUGGAAUUUUGUAAGAUGCACGGUGAUAAAAUUAUAAAGCUUAUUUUGUUAAAUAAGUUUAUGUAUUUAAAAUCGGAAACAUUGAAUAUGUUACUUGAUCUCGACCAUUGCAUCGAUCAUAUGUAUUAUGGCUAUGUGAAAAUACGCAUCUUGUUGAUAUGAAAUUUAAAAAAAUUUGUAAACGCCUUGCAACAGAAUAAUAUCGCCGAUAUAUGUUACAAGCCUGAGAACCUCGAAUUGUGUUACGCCGCUAAAACGAUACGCGAGAGCGACGAUUUCGACAGCGAGUCUCUUGACUGCGAACUGUUGGCAUGUGCCUUGAAAGAUAUUGUGCACGAUGCUAUUGCAAAUGAAUAAAAUUUGGUGAAAAAUAAA
Molecule: long non-coding RNA, 4145 nt
Organism: Dinoponera quadriceps
Lineage: Eukaryota; Metazoa; Arthropoda; Insecta; Hymenoptera; Formicidae
Exons: 5
Source: RefSeq, a predicted model, not a curated record